Molecule: transfer RNA, 83 nt
Filed under: Candidatus Pacearchaeota archaeon
Lineage: Archaea; Nanobdellati
Description: tRNA-Ser
Rfam family: tRNA
About the family: Transfer RNA (tRNA) molecules are approximately 80 nucleotides in length. Their secondary structure includes four short double-helical elements and three loops (D, anti-codon, and T loops).
Source: RNAcentral
GCCUACAUCGCGUAAUGGUAUCGCAUCGGAUUGCUAAUCCGAGCCCCUCCGGGGGCAUCCAGGUUCGAUUCCUGGUGUAGGCG